UACAGAGGGUGCAAGCGUUAAUCGGAUUUACUGGGCGUAAAGGGCGCGUAGGUGGUUAUGUAAGUGAGAGGUGAAAUCCCCGGGCUUAACCUGGGAACUGCCUCUUAUACUGCAUAGCUGGAGUACAAUAGAGGGUAGUGGAAUUUCCGGUGUAGCGGUGAAAUGCGUAGAUAUCGGAAGGAACACCAGUGGCGAAGGCGGCCCCCUGGGCCGUACCUGACGCUGAGGCGCGAAGGCUAGGGGAGCGAACGGG
RNAcentral lists this ribosomal RNA (253 nucleotides) under uncultured bacterium. Its description in RNAcentral is "partial 16S ribosomal RNA". It matches the Rfam family "Bacterial small subunit ribosomal RNA", at positions 524 to 776 of the family's 1533-position model. The record is from RNAcentral.